GGGGAUGACAGCUUUCGACAUGUGUUGCUCUAUAACAUCUGCACAUCGUCUUUUAUUCAAGACGUGAAACAUGAAUUACAACAUAACUGCAAAAACAAUUCGCAGUACAGUGGCUUACGUGAAAAGUCUCUUUGACUUCUCACCAGUCGCUUCUUACGCACCUUUGGUUGCAUAAGACAUCUACAGUUCUUAUUUCGCUGACGUAAAACUGUAGGUGGAAACACAGUCAGUGUGUCACUUUUUCUCUGACUACUUGAGAAAAAGGAAGCCCUCACAGUAGUGAGACCUCCCAACCGCUUGUCGUUUGAUUCGGGGGAGAUCACGAUCAACAAACGACUAUAUGUGUAGAUGAUGCUAUAGUUCGCGCAUGGACCCCGGUCCAAUCCGGGCAUCUCCACUC
This 400-nucleotide transfer-messenger RNA is filed under the name Patescibacteria group. RNAcentral describes it as "PSRQ01 sp003176165 Standard tmRNA". It matches the Rfam family "transfer-messenger RNA". From Rfam's summary of the family: Bacterial tmRNA, also known as 10Sa RNA or SsrA, is named for its dual tRNA and mRNA-like properties. Its role is to liberate the mRNA from a stalled ribosome. The record is from RNAcentral. RNAcentral also lists the same sequence under 1 other name.